Molecule: RNase P RNA, 441 nt
Filed under: Phycisphaerales bacterium
Lineage: Bacteria; Pseudomonadati; Planctomycetota; Phycisphaerae; Phycisphaerales
Description: RNase P RNA component class A
Rfam family: Bacterial RNase P class A
About the family: Ribonuclease P (RNase P) is a ubiquitous endoribonuclease, found in archaea, bacteria and eukarya as well as chloroplasts and mitochondria.
Source: RNAcentral
GGAGCGGGCGGUGGCGAUCGCCGGGUCGGCGCAGGUUGAUCCGGAGGAAAGUCCGAACUGGGCAGGGCACGGUGGUUGGUAACGCCAACCCGGGGCGACCCGAGGGAAAGUGCCACAGAAAUGACACCGCCUACGUCGGUCCAACGGCGCCGUUCGCGGCGUCCGACGGGUCCGGCCGGCAAGGGUGAAAUGGUGCGGUAAGAGCGCACCGCGUCGAUGGCGACAUCGACGGCAGGGUAAACCCCACCGCCAGCAAGCCCGCGCAGCGGCCAGAGGCGGCCCGCCUCGCCGGCGAUUUCGAUCGCCCGUAGCCGCGGGUAGGGUGCUUGAGCCGACGGGCGACCGUCGGCCCAGAUGAAUGAUCGCCCGCCGGCGUCGUCGUGCCGUUCGCGGCGCGCGGAUGCCGGCGAACAGAACUCGGCUUACAAGCCCGCUCCCUUU